AGGAUGAACGCUAGCGGCAGGCUUAACACAUGCAAGUCGAGGGGUAUAGUUCUUCGGAGCUAGAGACCGGCGCACGGGUGCGUAACGCGUAUGCAAUCUACCUUUUACAGAGGGAUAGCCCAGAGAAAUUUGGAUUAAUACCUCAUAGUAUGUGAGAAUCGCAUGGUUUUCACAUUAAAGUUCCAACGGUAAAAGAUGAGCAUGCGUCCCAUUAGCUAGAUGGUAAGGUAACGGCUUACCAUGGCGACGAUGGGUAGGGGUCCUGAGAGGGAGAUCCCCCACACUGGUACUGAGACACGGACCAGACUCCUACGGGAGGCAGCAGUGAGGAAUAUUGGACAAUGGGCGCAAGCCUGAUCCAGCCAUGCCGCGUGCAGGAUGACGGUCCUAUGGAUUGUAAACUGCUUUUUGUACAGGAAGAAACACUCCCUCGUGAGGGAGCUUGACGGUACUGUAAGAAUAAGGAUCGGCUAACUCCGUG
This 481-nucleotide ribosomal RNA is filed under the name uncultured bacterium. Its description in RNAcentral is "bacterial SSU rRNA". It matches the Rfam family "Bacterial small subunit ribosomal RNA", at positions 26 to 507 of the family's 1533-position model. The record is from RNAcentral.